This 317-nucleotide ribosomal RNA is filed under the name uncultured bacterium. RNAcentral's name for it is "bacterial SSU rRNA". It matches the Rfam family "Bacterial small subunit ribosomal RNA", at positions 28 to 334 of the family's 1533-position model. The record is from RNAcentral.
AGUGAACGCUGGCGGCGUGGUUUAGGCAUGCAAGUCGAGCGCGAAAGCAUCCUUCGGGGUGCCGGUAGAGCGGCGAAAGGGUGAGUAAUGCAUAGGCAACGUACCCUCGGAACCGGAAUAGCUGCUGGAAACGGCAGGUAAUACCGGGUGGUCAGCGCGGGUGGCAUCACCUGCGUUGUAGACGGUUGGGCAACCUUCUGUCCGGGGAGCGGCCUAUGUCCUAUUAGCUUGUUGGUGAGGUCACGGCUCACCAAGGCGAUGAUGGGUAGCCGGACUGAGAGGUCGGCCGGUCACACUGGGACUGAGACACUGCCCAG